This 930-nucleotide ribosomal RNA is filed under the name uncultured bacterium. RNAcentral describes it as "bacterial SSU rRNA". It matches the Rfam family "Bacterial small subunit ribosomal RNA", at positions 8 to 916 of the family's 1533-position model. The record is from RNAcentral.
AGAGUUUGAUCCUGGCUCAGAACGAACGCUGGCGGCGUGCUUAACACAUGCAAGUCGAACGCGAAAGGGACUUCGGUCCUGAGUAAAGUGGCGCACGGGUGAGUAACGCGUGGAUAAUCUACCCAAUGGUCUGGGAUAACAUUUCGAAAGGGGUGCUAAUACCGGAUAAGACCACGGAGUCUUUGGACUCUGCGGUAAAAGGUGGGGACCUUCGGGCCUACCGCAAUUGGAUGAGUCCGCGUGCCAUUAGCUAGUUGGUAGGGUAAAGGCCUACCAAGGCGACGAUGGUUAGCUGGUCUGAGAGGAUGAUCAGCCACACUGGAACUGAGACACGGUCCAGACUCCUACGGGAGGCAGCAGUGGGGAAUUUUGCGCAAUGGGGGAAACCCUGACGCAGCAACGCCGCGUGAGUGAUGAAGGCCUUCGGGUCGUAAAGCUCUGUCAGAGGGGAAGAAAUGCGGGGUGCUAAUAUCGCUUCCGCUUGACGGUACCCUCAAAGGAAGCACCGGCUAACUCCGUGCCAGCAGCCGCGGUAAUACGGAGGGUGCGAGCGUUGUUCGGAAUUAUUGGGCGUAAAGCGCGUGUAGGCGGUUUGUUAAGUCUGAUGUGAAAGCCCCGGGCUCAACCUGGGAAGUGCAUUGGAAACUGGCAGACUUGAAUACGGGAGAGGGUAGUGGAAUUCCUAGUGUAGGAGUGAAAUCCGUAGAUAUUAGGAGGAACACCGGUGGCGAAGGCGGCUGCCUGGACCGAUAUUGACGCUGAGACGCGAAAGCGUGGGGAGCAAACAGGAUUAGAUACCCUGGUAGUCCACGCCGUAAACGAUGAGUACUAGGUGUUGCGGGUAUUGACCCCUGCAGUGCCGCAGCUAACGCAUUAAGUACUCCGCCUGGGAAGUACGGCCGCAAGGCUAAAACUCAAAUGAAUUGACGG